UGGGGAAUAUUGGGCAAUGGGCGCAAGCCUGACCCAGCAAUGCCGCGUGGGUGAAGAAGGCCCUCGGGUCGUAAAGCCCUUUCGGCGGGGACGAUGGUGACGGUACCCGCAGAAGAAGCCCCGGCUAACUUCGUGCCAGCAGCCGCGGUAAUACGAAGGGGGCUAGCGUUGCUCGGAAUGACUGGGCGUAAAGGGCGCGUAGGCGGCGCAUUUAGUCAGGCGUGAAAGCCCCGGGCUCAACCCAGGGACUGCGCUUGAUACGGCUGUGCUAGAGGACGGGAGAGGGCCGCGGAAUUCCCAGUGUAGAGGUGAAAUUCGUAGAUAUUGGGAAGAACACCGGUGGCGAAGGCGGCGGCCUGGCCCGUUACUGACGCUGAGGCGCGACAGCGUGGGGAGCAAACAGGAUUAGAUACCCUGGUAGUCCACGCCGUAAACGAUGAGCGCUGGGUGUUGGGUGGCUUAGCCAUUCAGUGCCGAAGCAAACGCGAUAAGCGCUCCGCCUGGGGAGUACGGCCGCAAGGCU
Molecule: ribosomal RNA, 523 nt
Filed under: uncultured bacterium
Lineage: Bacteria
Description: bacterial SSU rRNA
Rfam family: Bacterial small subunit ribosomal RNA
Source: RNAcentral